Molecule: long non-coding RNA, 487 nt
Organism: Mus musculus (house mouse)
Lineage: Eukaryota; Metazoa; Chordata; Mammalia; Rodentia; Muridae
Product: predicted gene, 39213
Exons: 3
Source: RefSeq, marked validated
AGUUGCCCAGAGCCUGAGAAGCGGGAUCCCAAGUUCAAUAAGAACGCCUGGAGGCCAGACCUUGCGAAAUCCGCAAAUGGGGUGCCUGCAGAGAGAAAGGCAGACACCACGCAUGAACCAGCAGCUGUAGUCCAAUCCUGAGGAAGCCGAAAGGCUUGCCAACUGGCCACGGCUGCUUCAGUGGCAAGCUGCCACAGGAACCUCAUAAGUUCUUGGGAUGUUUCUCUCAGUUAUUGGACCAGCUCCUGCCUUCAUGCCACCAUGCUCCCCACUAUGAUAAUGGACUACACCUAUGAAAAUGUGAGCAAGCCCCAGUAAAAUGUCUUCUUUGGUUGUGGCUCAUAAUCAUCUGUAAUGGGAUAUGAUGGACUCUUCUGGUGUGUCUGGGGACAGCAACAGUGUACUCAUACAAUCAAUCAAUCAAUCAAUCAAUAAAUAAAUGCAGAUUCAGUGGGCAAUGUAGCACCACAGUGUCCUGUGACAAACA